UUGGUUUGUUUAGUGUUCAGGUCCCCAUAUUUAUAACUUGAGUUGUCUAGUUAAAUGUCAUUAUGAUUGUGCUUACUGAUUAGAUAAGACUAAGUGAGUUUGCUGUGAUGCUUAGUUGGCCUUAUUCAGUGGCGGACUCAGAAUUUUCGUUCAGGGGGUUCGAAAAAUAAAAGUAUAAACGUGUAAAUAAGCCUUUGAAAAUUGGAACCGUGAUUUUUUUUGGAUUUGAAACCACACUUUAGCAAAAAAAUUUAAUUAAAAAAAAAACUUAAAAAAAAAGAAAAACAGAACUGAAAAUUAAAAAAAAAACUAAAAAAACUGAAAAAGAAAACGCUUUCACUGGGAUUUGAACCAGUGACACACAACUUAAUUUCCAAGGGAAAUGCCAUUAUGCCAUCAGUUUCUCUUUGUUAUUGAGGGGGUUCAAAAUAUAUAUAUUUACAGAAAUACAGAAAAUUUACUUUAAUAUACAGUGUAAUUUUUUGCCGAGGGGUUCGAGUGAACCCCCUGGAACCAACGUGGGUCCGCCCCUGGCCUUAUUGCCUUCCAAAAUAUUGAAAUUGUCUUGGUAGUCAUUUUGAUGUGAAGCUCUUAACCAUCCUCUAGCAUGAUUAUCACAUUGUAGUUUAUUGUUGGUUGAUUUCAUUUUGAUCAUUCUUGGAUUUAUCUACUUAUUAUGAAUGAUUUCUUUUAAUAUUUACAGAUAAGUUUCUUUCUUAAAAAUGAUCAAAUUAGCUCUAUGAAUUGUCUUUAGUUUGAAUACACCUACAUAUCAUUAGUCUAAAUGCAUUAUCUUUCUGUUGAAAAUAAUGACUCUCGCUUCAUCUGAGGCAUGUGAUUCCUAUUUUAAGCUUGUAUAUUAAUAUUGCUCUGUUGGGUUCCAUUUUAGUAGUUAAUUAAUUAAUUCAUACCUCCCUCUCUGUGUCGUUACUGCAUAUGUUCAUGGUUUGCCUACUCCCCUUUGUUGGCGAGUUUGUUUGCUGGUAAUAUCAAAUAUUCAUAUUAAUUCUUUCCCCUUUCUUAUUCCACAUUUGAUAUUUACGGAGUCUACUUGGACUCAUCUCCUCGUAUUAUCGCAUCGCAGGUUGGGUUGAAACCCAACACUCCUUUAUCGAGUCAGCCUGCGGUUGGUUCAUCUAUUAACAAAAAAAAUGAUUAAGAAAAAUAGAGCUAUUUCGGAAAAAGUUGGUGC
Molecule: long non-coding RNA, 1192 nt
Filed under: Solanum tuberosum (potato)
Lineage: Eukaryota; Viridiplantae; Streptophyta; Magnoliopsida; Solanales; Solanaceae
Description: long non-coding RNA (STUB_LNC002583)
Source: RNAcentral